AUUAAUACUCAAAGUUGAGGGAAAAAGAAUAUAUGAUAGAGAUAUUGAGAGAAAAUAUGGUCCCAGAGUUGCAAGUCAGAAAAGUGGAUCAAAGUUAAAUUCUUACUUUUGUUUUUUUUUUCCAGAUUAGUUAUUUAUUUCAAAAUAUGCGUUCAAAUCAUAAAACUACUCCUUUAGAAUGUUCCAAGUACAUAUAAUUCAUUGGAAAAAUAGGGGGCCAAAAGUGAUACGAAAGCUGCUGGCAAUAGAUGAAUAUAGAUAGAUCAAUAUAGAAGAUAGUUGAUGAAUCCAAGUGCUGUGAAAUAAGUUAGAUUUACAUGUGAUUUUAGGUGGGGAAGAUAUGUUAGACAAAUUGCUCGUGGCUAACUAACCC
Molecule: long non-coding RNA, 373 nt
Filed under: Eucalyptus grandis
Lineage: Eukaryota; Viridiplantae; Streptophyta; Magnoliopsida; Myrtales; Myrtaceae
Description: long non-coding RNA (EGRA_LNC004250)
Source: RNAcentral